Molecule: unclassified non-coding RNA, 273 nt
Filed under: Byssomerulius corium
Lineage: Eukaryota; Fungi; Basidiomycota; Agaricomycetes; Polyporales; Irpicaceae
Description: partial internal transcribed spacer region
Rfam family: Eukaryotic small subunit ribosomal RNA (bases 1-46)
Source: RNAcentral
AAGUCGUAACAAGGUUUCCGUAGGUGAACCUGCGGAAGGAUCAUUAUCGAGUUUUUUGAACGGGUUGUCGCUGGCCUUUCACGAGGCAUGUGCACGCCUGGCUCAUCCACUCUCAACCUCUGUGCACCCUAUGUAAGAAUCGGUGGACGUGCUGGCUCUUUGAGUCGGUAAGAAAGCCUUUUCUUAUGUUUUACUACAAACGCUUCAGUUAUAGAAUGUUUACUGUGUAUAACACAAUAUAUACAACUUUCAGCAACGGAUCUCUUGGCUCUC